CUUUACUGCCGCAUAGGCAGCUUAGAAA
Molecule: non-coding RNA, 28 nt
Organism: Gallibacterium salpingitidis
Lineage: Bacteria; Pseudomonadati; Pseudomonadota; Gammaproteobacteria; Pasteurellales; Pasteurellaceae
Source: Rfam